Molecule: non-coding RNA, 4102 nt
Organism: Oncorhynchus mykiss (rainbow trout)
Lineage: Eukaryota; Metazoa; Chordata; Actinopteri; Salmoniformes; Salmonidae
Source: RefSeq, a predicted model, not a curated record
AUACUUCCAAGCUUUGGCUAUAAAGGCCCAGACUUCUGUAGAGGCAGAUUGUUCCUAUGGCACUAAACCUUGUAUUUAGCCUAUAAUAUAACUAUAAUACCAUACAAUUGGCAUUUAUCCUACAAUCAAUACACUAGAUAUCAUUGCGACUAAUUAAAACACAGGUCCUUAUAGAACACUAAAAUCUGAUAAAACCUACGUUUCAAGAAAAUUACACUUUCUUCGCGUGCACACGUGACAUCAUUCAAUAAGGUCAUGCGCACAUCUGCGCAGGUUUAUUGCGGUAUCUCUCUAUUUGUUUGCAACUUCAGAGAGUUCAGAAAUCAGUUUAUCAGAGAAUGCGUUCUAUUUUUGGCGGCUACGUCGACAUAAUGAGACAGUGAACUGAAACGUGUCCAAUUGCGUAAAAUAACUACAUUUGAUUGUCAGUUGAUGAAAGUAACGAGGAACAAUGGAACAGGAGGGACCAAUCAAUGUCAAAGCUCUGAGGGCCAAGUUUCAGGAGGAAGCCAGAGCCCAGGCUCAAGCCCGGGACCAACACCGACCUGCCAUUGCUGAGAAGCCCAGACGGCUCCCAUCCACUGUUCCUGGGGAGCAGGAACAAACCUGUCAUCCCCAGGAUGGAGCCCUGAUGAGCUCCAUCCACUCGGCUGUGGAGAACAAACCUGUCAUCCCCAGGGUCAUCUUCAGGGAUGGGACCAGGGUGUCUGGGGGCAAAUGGCCCGUCUCCUUCCCUGCACUUGUACUGCAGGCCAUCCCACCAAAACCACCAACACCACCACACCAGAACAGUCUCCACAAUGGCGGAAGGGACUGCACAGCGACAGCCAAGAAAUCCUUCAAAGACCGCCACUUGCCUCUCGUACUGCCUGGCCUGCCUUUGAAGGAGCACAAAACCCAUUUGCCACCUCAUAAAGAGGUCCCGCCUCCAACAAAAUGCAAGAAAAAGGGUUUGCUGCUCCACCACCCCUUCAAGUCAACCAAAGUCUCCAAGGUUGGUGGCGAACCUGCAGACGAGCCUGCGUAUGCUGGUUUGACCACCAACAGACAUUCAGGAGCUCCAGUAGAGGGGCUUGUGAUGGACAGGAAUAAGGCUGAAGAUAGGCUGCCACUCCAGAUGGAACAUUCUAGCACGGAGUGCCCAACCUCCAGCCCAGACAUCACCAUCACUACUCCGUUAGAAGGCCCAGGUGAAGACUUAUCCUCUAUGGUUAGUGCGACCCAGUUCUUCAGCACGUUGGAGAAAGGCAAGAAACGGUUCUCACCUAAGCACCUGUUGGUGUAUGCCAGGCCCAAGAGCCUGCGUUCCAAUGGGGUCCAUCUCUCAGACCAUAGCUCUACCAUGGACAAGGGAGUUCAUCUGCCCUCUACAGAUUAUGAGAGUCAUGCCCCAGAACAUGACCUUCCAGCCCCUUUGCCUGUCUGUCUCCCGCACCUCCCUUGUGUUUCAGCUCUGCCGUUCAAGAUGAAUGACUCUUCCCGCAGACUAGAGACUGCAUCAGAGAAACAGUUUGGCCAGGAUAGAGCAGAGCUUCUGCUUGUAAAAUCUGAUGGACUUCCCCCUCCUCAUCCAGCCAGGAAACUUCUACCUGACCGGGGGUCUCUGGGACCUUUGCCGAUGAAACCUCCAAGACCUCCAAGGGUAGAUCUCAGAUGUUACCAACCAACCACAGAACAUCACAGAGAGUUGACUUCAGCGGUUGAACCUGAGACAUGUGAGGAUCCACACUCUGAGCCUCCAUCCAUUGCUAAUCCUGAACUGGUUGUUCCAGAGUUUCCAGACUUUGAGUUGAAUUCAGAACUGGAAACUGCAGAAGGCAAUGCAUUUGACCUUGCAGCUCUAGAACUAGAAGCUACAGAAUUUGGAACCCCUGAAUAUCCAGUAGAUCUAGACUUGAGGGUUCCAGAUUUUCUAUCCCCUGAAUGCGAGUUACCAUCUUGUGAGCCUCCAAAAAUUCCCAGCUUUGACCAACGAGCCCUGACCCUCAGCAGUCAUCAUGAUCUAGUUCUUUCAGAGUUCUUGGCUCAAACGUGGGAGUUUCCAGCUUCAGUUCUAAAACCUCAAGUUGUUUCUGAGCUAUCUGCUGAAAUGUUGCCUGUUGAACCCUCAUUCACAGAGGACACUGACCAUGACUCCGCUUCGGUUGAAUUUCCCCAUUCAGGACUGACGUUGAGUGUCUGUCAACAGGAGAACUAUUAUGAAACCUGUGAUAAUGUGUAUGAAGUUGUUGAGAACACUGUCAGUCAAAACUCACACAAACGUAAAGGCCCACCAAAGAAUCCUUAUGGGGACCCCCAUCCAGUGAAGGAGGAGCCUCGAAUGCACAUAUGGCCCCGGAAUCCAUGUAAGGAAAAACAGAGCCCUGAGAACCACGAGGACAAAGAUCAGAGGAAGAGAGAGAAGCACCGCCUCGAGAAGGAGAAGAAAGAGCAAAAGGAGAGGGAGAAAAAGGAGAAUGAAAUGAAGAAAAAAUUCAAAGUGACUGGCCAGGAGGAGGCGAUGUACCAUGCCAGGGUGACAGUGGCCAGUAAAGUGCGUAAGAAUGACCUGCCAGUGAAGAGUGGUGACACGGUUAGCAUCAUCCGAACCACCAACUGCCCCAAAGGAAAAUGGCUGGCCCGUGACGCCAACCACAAAUAUGGCUAUAUCUCUGUAAUGAAUGUGGAGCUGAAUAUCAAAGAGAUGCUGGAGCUCGGGAAGAAGGCUCAGGCUGCUGGCCGAGGAGGCACAGAGGGAGAUACCAUCAGCAUGGGGAGCAGAUCAUCUAAUCAUCAUCCCAUGCUACACAGCAGCUUCACAGAUGAUGAUGAGGAGUGGACAUUAGACGAAGAGACCCUGUCCCCCUACAUGGAGAACCGCAUUCACAAUCGGACUGUCUCAAUGCCUGAUAUGCUCUGCAGCCAUGCUAGUGCCCACCACACCCUUAGUGAUGGCAGCAUAGAGGACCCCCACACACAAACCAGACAUGAGGCUCUUCAGAAGUUAGCCAUCUUCUUUCAGAACAACAAAGCUGGCAUCAGUGACACAGCAGAAGACCGAGUGCCAACCCCUACAAAGCUUCCUAUGUGUUGUGGAGCCUCCAUACUCGUAAGUGAAGAUAGUGUGUGUGUGUAUAUUUCAUGCAUUAUCCUCAUUGGUCUUAAUAGCCCUUGAGGUAGUAGUCUAGCUUGGACCAAAAUGUAUGUACCUGUUUUCUAUGGCAGAGACCAGGAAGUGGUUUUUGCAGAUUUUGAACUACUUCCCCCUCCAGUUCUAUAUGCAGAUUUCCUGUGACAGCUUCACUGACUGAGAGAACUAAAGGGGAGCACAACAGUUUCUUCUCCAAUGAUUGGCUGAGUAACCUGACUGUUACUGAUGCAGGCCAGGCAGCCAGCUGACCAACCCCACACAUAUCACUCUGCCUUGGGCCUGGAGAACAUACCAUGAACUCCAGAUGAACCACUGUCGUUCUAGAUCUAUGGACUCUAGAUCUACCGUUUAGAUCCAGAUGAACCACAGUUGUUAUAGAUGUAUAAAACUAGCUCGAUAAACCAUUGUCAUAUCUCAGAUCUGUUGGAUUAAAAGCAUAGAAAUAAAAUUAAUAGAACUGUCUGUAUUAUAUUUGAAUGGGGUUGUCCAUUCUAUUUAUAUGCCUUUAAUCAUAUCCAAUUGUUGAAAUCCGAUAACUUUUGAAAACUGGGGGAGGGGUGUUUAUUAUUAUUAUUAGUGAAGUACGUUUGACCUGAUGCCUUUAUUUCUCUCGAUCACAUUUGUUUUGAUAGUUGUGUGGCUGCUUAAUGCUUUAUCCAUUGCAUGUGUACUGUUAUACAAUUGUUUUUGUUCUUGUUGCCUUUUGACUAUGAACACAGUAAGUAAUUCACUUUCUGUUCAUUGAUCAUUUUGGCACUACUGAAUGGGAAACGAUGAAGUAGUAGUCUGCACUUUCCAUAACACAAUGGUGAAAUGGUGCAUUGUUUUGGGUACAAUGCCUUGGUCAAGAGUAUGUAUAAUUAUUUUUUGGCUCUUCACACUUGUUUUGGUCUGUUUGUUCAAAAUAUCUGAUUUUGAUGUCCAAUGUAUCACCUUAAUGUAAAGCGUCAAAUAAAUGGUCAUAUAGUCUAA